Non-coding RNA from Ipomoea nil (Japanese morning glory), 49 nucleotides. Lineage: Eukaryota; Viridiplantae; Streptophyta; Magnoliopsida; Solanales; Convolvulaceae. The record is from Rfam.
UGGAGCCGUAUGAGGCGAGAGUCUCACGUACGGUUCCAAGAGUCUCCGC